UGCAUUGGAUGCCAACCGCCGUUAAACCUCAUAGAAGAAGGAACACUAGAACUGUGCUGUGAAGACGAUAGCUUUUGUAUCCGUUUCAAAUGCAUUACUACAGGACGACUUGAAUUAAGUCUGAGGUCGGUAACAUCAACAGUGAGGACAAACCCAACCUGCCUCUCUCCUUCCACACUGAAUCCAAACCUACAGUCACUGGGUCCUGAUUGUGACAGUGGAGCCCAGUUUGCACUGCAGGAUCCAGAGAUGGCAUCAGUGAAGCUGGAAGACUGCAGUCAAACACUGGAGCUGAAUGUCAACAUUAAAGAUGAAGAAGAAGAGGAGAAGAUUGGAACAUCUGUUUCUCAUGGAGACCACGUUGAGACAUUCCCUGCAUCCAGACAACAACAGCAGGAAGAUCACAGAGCUAAGAGGUCUCACCACUGCCCACAUUGUGUGGAGAUUUUCCCAUUUCUAUCAAAG
Long non-coding RNA from Oncorhynchus nerka (sockeye salmon), 465 nucleotides. RefSeq lists it as uncharacterized. The transcript has 3 exons. The record is from RefSeq and is a predicted model, not a curated record. NCBI's taxonomy places the organism in Eukaryota, Metazoa, Chordata, Actinopteri, Salmoniformes, Salmonidae.